AAAGAUAGAGGCGCAGAAAACAUCAGUAGGAUCAUUUAGUUUAGCAAACAGUGAGGUGAUCUGAAAGGGAAUUCUGCCGAAAUGAAAAAGAAUGCUGAAGCUUUUUUGUUGGGAGUAUAGAUAAUAUCUGUACUACUGUCAUUGAUUACUUCAAUGGAGUGCUAUCUG
RNAcentral lists this non-coding RNA (168 nucleotides) under Fusobacterium ulcerans. RNAcentral's name for it is "Lysine riboswitch". It matches the Rfam family "Lysine riboswitch aptamer". Rfam says of the family: Riboswitches are metabolite binding domains within certain messenger RNAs that serve as precision sensors for their corresponding targets. Allosteric rearrangement of mRNA structure is mediated by ligand binding, and this results in modulation of gene expression. The record is from RNAcentral. Lineage: Bacteria; Fusobacteriati; Fusobacteriota; Fusobacteriia; Fusobacteriales; Fusobacteriaceae.